GACGAACGCUGGCGGCGCGCCUAACACAUGCAAGUCGAACGAGCGAGAGAGAGCUUGCUUUCUCAAGCGAGUGGCGAACGGGUGAGUAACGCGUGAGGAACCUGCCUCAAAGAGGGGGACAACAGUUGGAAACGACUGCUAAUACCGCAUAAGCCCACGACCCGGCAUCGGGUAGAGGGAAAAGGAGCAAUCCGCUUUGAGAUGGCCUCGCGUCCGAUUAGCUAGUUGGUGAGGUAACCGCCCACCAAGGCGACGAUCGGUAGACGGGCUGAAAGGUUGAAUGACCACAUUGAGACUGAGACACGGCCCAAGAUCCUACGGGAGGAAGCAGUGGGGAAUAUUGCAGAAUGAAGGAAAACAUGAUGCAGCGACGCCGCGUGGAGGAAGAAGUUCUUCGGAUUGUAAACUCCUGUUGUUGAGGAAGAUAAUGAUGGUACUCAAUAAGGAAGUUACGGCUAACUACGUG
This 466-nucleotide ribosomal RNA is filed under the name uncultured bacterium. RNAcentral describes it as "partial 16S ribosomal RNA". It matches the Rfam family "Bacterial small subunit ribosomal RNA", at positions 28 to 507 of the family's 1533-position model. The record is from RNAcentral.